GACGAACCGUGCGAACGUUGUUCGGAAUCACUGGGCUUAAAGGGCGCGUAGGCGGCCGGGUUGGUCGUGGGUGAAAUCCCCCAGCUUAACUGGGGAAUUGCCUACGAUACUGCCUGGCUCGAGGGAGGAAGGGGCGGCCGGAACUGUCGGUGGAGCGGUGAAAUGCGUUGAGAUCGACAGGAACGCCGGUGGCGAAAGCGGGCCGCUGGCCCUCUUCUGACGCUGAUGCGCGAAAGCUAGGGGAGCAAACGGG
This 253-nucleotide ribosomal RNA is filed under the name uncultured bacterium. Its description in RNAcentral is "partial 16S ribosomal RNA". It matches the Rfam family "Bacterial small subunit ribosomal RNA", at positions 524 to 776 of the family's 1533-position model. The record is from RNAcentral.